Molecule: transfer RNA, 91 nt
Filed under: Insulibacter thermoxylanivorax
Lineage: Bacteria; Bacillati; Bacillota; Bacilli; Caryophanales; Paenibacillaceae
Description: tRNA-Ser
Rfam family: tRNA
About the family: Transfer RNA (tRNA) molecules are approximately 80 nucleotides in length. Their secondary structure includes four short double-helical elements and three loops (D, anti-codon, and T loops).
Source: RNAcentral
GGAGAGAUGUCCGAGAGGUCGAAGGAGCACGAUUGGAAAUCGUGUAGACGUUAACCGCGUCUCGAGGGUUCGAAUCCCUCUCUCUCCGCCA